Molecule: transfer RNA, 70 nt
Filed under: Doedicurus sp. FD-2016a
Lineage: Eukaryota; Metazoa; Chordata; Mammalia; Cingulata; Chlamyphoridae
Description: tRNA-Phe
Rfam family: tRNA
About the family: Transfer RNA (tRNA) molecules are approximately 80 nucleotides in length. Their secondary structure includes four short double-helical elements and three loops (D, anti-codon, and T loops).
Source: RNAcentral
GUCCAUGUAGCUUAAAAUCCAAAGCAAGGCACUGAAAAUGCCUAAAUGGGUCCAACCGACCCCACAGACA